UAUUAUGAGAGUUUGAUCCUGGCUCAGGACGAACGCUGGCGGCGUGCCUAAUACAUGCAAGUCGAACGCUUCUUUCCUCCCGAGUGCUUGCACUCAAUUGGAAAGAGGAGUGGCGGACGGGUGAGUAACACGUGGGUAACCUACCCAUCAGAGGGGGAUAACACUUGGAAACAGGUGCUAAUACCGCAUAACAGUUUAUGCCGCAUGGCAUAAGAGUGAAAGGCGCUUUCGGGUGUCGCUGAUGGAUGGACCCGCGGUGCAUUAGCUAGUUGGUGAGGUAACGGCUCACCAAGGCCACGAUGCAUAGCCGACCUGAGAGGGUGAUCGGCCACACUGGGACUGAGACACGGCCCAGACUCCUACGGGAGGCAGCAGUAGGGAAUCUUCGGCAAUGGACGAAAGUCUGACCGAGCAACGCCGCGUGAGUGAAGAAGGUUUUCGGAUCGUAAAACUCUGUUGUUAGAGAAGAACAAG
Molecule: ribosomal RNA, 474 nt
Filed under: Enterococcus faecalis
Lineage: Bacteria; Bacillati; Bacillota; Bacilli; Lactobacillales; Enterococcaceae
Description: bacterial SSU rRNA
Rfam family: Bacterial small subunit ribosomal RNA
Source: RNAcentral